RNAcentral lists this ribosomal RNA (722 nucleotides) under bacterium IMCC7623. Its description in RNAcentral is "bacterial SSU rRNA". It matches the Rfam family "Bacterial small subunit ribosomal RNA", at positions 28 to 741 of the family's 1533-position model. The record is from RNAcentral.
AUUGAACGCUGGCGGAAUGCUUUACACAUGCAAGUCGAACGGCAGCAUAGAGAGCUUGCUCUCUGAUGGCGAGUGGCGAACGGGUGAGUAAUAUAUCGGAACGUGCCUAGUAAUGGGGAAUAACUAGCUGAAAGGUUAGCUAAUGCCGCAUACGACCUACGGGUGAAAGCAGGGGAUCUUCGGACCUUGCGUUAUUAGAGCGGCCGAUAUCUGAUUAGCUUGUUGGUGGGGUAAUGGCCUACCAAGGCGACGAUCAGUAGCUGGUCUGAGAGGACGAUCAGCCACACUGGAACUGAGACACGGUCCAGACUCCUACGGGAGGCAGCAGUGGGGAAUUUUGGACAAUGGGGGCAACCCUGAUCCAGCCAUUCCGCGUGAGUGAAGAAGGCCUUCGGGUUGUAAAGCUCUUUCGCAAGAGAAGAAAACUUGCUAUCUAAUAAAUAGUAAGUAUGACGGUAUCUUGACAAGAAGCACCGGCUAACUACGUGCCAGCAGCCGCGGUAAUACGUAGGGUGCAAGCGUUAAUCGGAAUUACUGGGCGUAAAGCGUGCGCAGGCAGUUUUAUAAGUCAGAUGUGAAAUCCCCGAGCUCAACUUGGGAACUGCGUUUGAAACUGUAAGACUAGAGUGUGUCAGAGGGGGGUAGAAUUCCAAGUGUAGCAGUGAAAUGCGUAGAGAUUUGGAGGAAUACCAAUGGCGAAGGCAGCCCCCUGGGAUAACACU